Molecule: transfer RNA, 86 nt
Filed under: Trametes sanguinea
Lineage: Eukaryota; Fungi; Basidiomycota; Agaricomycetes; Polyporales; Polyporaceae
Description: tRNA-Asp
Source: RNAcentral
UCCCUGGUAGUAUAUCGGAUAGUACACGCGCCUGUCAACUUCGCUUACGGACGCGCGAGAGCGGGGUUCGACUCCCCGCCAGGGAG